UACGUAGGGUGCAAGCGUUGUCCGGAAUUAUUGGGCGUAAAGAGCUCGUAGGCGGUUUGUUGCGUCGGCUGUGAAAUCCCGAGGCUCAACCUCGGGUCUGCAGUCGAUACGAGCAAACUAGAGUGUUGCAGGGGAGACUGGAAUUCCUGGUGUAGCGGUGAAAUGCGCAGAUAUCAGGAGGAACACCGGUGGCGAAGGCGGGUCUCUGGGCAACAACUGACGCUGAGGAGCGAAAGCGUGGGGAGCAAACAGG
Molecule: ribosomal RNA, 253 nt
Filed under: uncultured bacterium
Lineage: Bacteria
Description: partial 16S ribosomal RNA
Rfam family: Bacterial small subunit ribosomal RNA
Source: RNAcentral